Molecule: ribosomal RNA, 510 nt
Filed under: uncultured bacterium
Lineage: Bacteria
Description: partial 16S ribosomal RNA
Rfam family: Bacterial small subunit ribosomal RNA
Source: RNAcentral
GACGAACGCUGGCGGCGUGCUUAACACAUGCAAGUCGAACGAAGAGCGAUGGAAGCUUGCUUCUCUCAAUCUUAGUGGCGAACGGGUGAGUAACGCGUAAUCAACCUGCCCUUCAGAGGGGGACAACAGUUGGAAACGACUGCUAAUACCGCAUACGAUCUAAUCUCGGCAUCGAGGAUAGAUGAAAGGUGGCCUCUACAUGUAAGCUAUCACUGAAGGAGGGGAUUGCGUCUGAUUAGCUAGUUGGAGGGGUAACGGCCCACCAAGGCGAUGAUCAGUAGCCGGUCGGAGAGGAUGAACGGCCACAUUGGGACUGAGACACGGCCCAGACUCCUACGGGAGGCAGCAGUGGGGAAUCUUCCGCAAUGGACGAAAGUCUGACGGAGCAACGCCGCGUGAGUGAUGACGGCCUUCGGGUUGGAAAGCUCUGUUAAUCGGGACGAAAGGCCUUCUUGCGAAUAGUGAGAAGGAUUGACGGUACCGGAAGAGAAAGCCACGGCUAACUACGUG